AGCGAACGCUGGCGGCAGGCCUAACACAUGCAAGUCGAACGGAUCCUUCGGGAUUAGUGGCGGACGGGUGAGUAACACGUGGGAACGUGCCCUUUGGUUCGGAACAACUCAGGGAAACUUGAGCUAAUACCGGAUGUGCCCUUCGGGGGAAAGAUUUAUCGCCAUUGGAGCGGCCCGCGUCUGAUUAGCUAGUUGGUGAGGUAACGGCCCACCAAGGCGACGAUCAGUAGCUGGUCUGAGAGGAUGAUCAGCCACACUGAGACUGAGACACGGCCCAGACUCCUACGGGAGGCAGCAGUGGGGAAUCUUGCGCAAUGGGCGAAAGCCUGACGCAGCCAUGCCGCGUGAAUGAUGAAGGUCUUAGGAUUGUAAAAUUCUUUCAGCGGGGACGAUAAUGACGGUACCCGCAGAAGAAGCUCCGGCUAACUUCGUG
This 433-nucleotide ribosomal RNA is filed under the name uncultured bacterium. Its description in RNAcentral is "partial 16S ribosomal RNA". It matches the Rfam family "Bacterial small subunit ribosomal RNA", at positions 29 to 507 of the family's 1533-position model. The record is from RNAcentral.